UACCCUAGUACACUUAAACUUAAUUAGUAACAUUAGAAUAUUAAAAGUUAUGUUCUUUAAAUUUAAAAAAUUGGGCGGUGUUUUAGUCUAGUUAGAGGAACCUGUUUUAUAAACGAUACAACACGCAUUAUUUUACUUAUUUUAGUAGAUCAGUUUGUAUACCGUCAUUAUAAGAUAAUUUAAGAGAGAAUAUUAUUGAAAUCAUAUUAUUGAGUAUAUUAGAUCAAGGUGCAGCUUAUGAGUAAGUAAACAUGGGUUACAAUAAAAUUUAUUUAAUAUGAAUUAAAUGUUUAAAUAUGUUU
This 302-nucleotide ribosomal RNA is filed under the name Lacunicambarus diogenes. RNAcentral's name for it is "partial small subunit ribosomal RNA". The record is from RNAcentral. Lineage: Eukaryota; Metazoa; Arthropoda; Malacostraca; Decapoda; Cambaridae.